Molecule: ribosomal RNA, 677 nt
Filed under: Niallia circulans
Lineage: Bacteria; Bacillati; Bacillota; Bacilli; Caryophanales; Bacillaceae
Description: bacterial SSU rRNA
Rfam family: Bacterial small subunit ribosomal RNA
Source: RNAcentral
GGCGGACGGGUGAGUAACACGUGGGCAACCUGCCUGUAAGACUGGGAUAACUUCGGGAAACCGGAGCUAAUACCGGAUAAUCCUUUUCCUCUCAUGAGGAAAAGCUGAAAGACGGUUUACGCUGUCACUUACAGAUGGGCCCGCGGCGCAUUAGCUAGUUGGUGAGGUAACGGCUCACCAAGGCGACGAUGCGUAGCCGACCUGAGAGGGUGAUCGGCCACACUGGGACUGAGACACGGCCCAGACUCCUACGGGAGGCAGCAGUAGGGAAUCUUCCGCAAUGGACGAAAGUCUGACGGAGCAACGCCGCGUGAGUGAUGAAGGUUUUCGGAUCGUAAAACUCUGUUGUUAGGGAAGAACAAGUACAAGAGUAACUGCUUGUACCUUGACGGUACCUAACCAGAAAGCCACGGCUAACUACGUGCCAGCAGCCGCGGUAAUACGUAGGUGGCAAGCGUUGUCCGGAAUUAUUGGGCGUAAAGCGCGCGCAGGCGGUCCUUUAAGUCUGAUGUGAAAGCCCACGGCUCAACCGUGGAGGGUCAUUGGAAACUGGGGGACUUGAGUGCAGAAGAGAAGAGUGGAAUUCCACGUGUAGCGGUGAAAUGCGUAGAGAUGUGGAGGAACACCAGUGGCGAAGGCGACUCUUUGGUCUGUAACUGACGCUGAGGCGCGAAAGC